This 570-nucleotide long non-coding RNA is filed under the name Monodelphis domestica (gray short-tailed opossum). Its description in RNAcentral is "lncRNA (ENSMODG00000044830.1)". Lineage: Eukaryota; Metazoa; Chordata; Mammalia; Didelphimorphia; Didelphidae. The record is from RNAcentral.
CCGAGGCAGCCCGCUAGGGAGAGAGGUAAGAGGCGGGCGGGGAGACGAGAGAGGAAAGAAGAGAGGAAAGAAGAGAGGAGGGGCCGGGCCGGAGCUAGGCUGGAGGGAGGAGAGGCGGAGCCUCUUCCGUACGUGCCAGGAGGCUGCGGCGCGGGCAAUGGGGGGGGGGGAGUAGCUAGGAGGGGAGGGGGGAGCCUCGGCGUCGGCGCGUCGCCUUGCUGGGCCGCGGCCGGUGGUCAGGAGGGAGAGAGGAGGAGGAGGAGGAGGAGAAGGAGGAGGAGGAUAUGGUACAACACCUAAGAUUACUCCUUUCAUGUCCAGGACAGCUUUGAGAAAAAGGAAUUCCUCACAGCAGGGUAAGGAAAUGAGUGGCAUACAGUGUCCCAUAGGGCAAAGUUUCAUAGUGAAAAUUUUUUUUUCUCAUUGAAGUUGCUUUAAAACUUAAUGUUCCAUUAUUAGUGGUAAUAUAUUCUUGAGCUUGGGCUAGAGUAAUCCUUUUUCUUUUUCCUAGAAAGAAAACGAAAUGGUGGUAGCAGAAUAAAAUAGUGUUAUAAAAUUUUCUAUAGAACA